RNAcentral lists this ribosomal RNA (506 nucleotides) under uncultured Leucobacter sp. RNAcentral's name for it is "bacterial SSU rRNA". It matches the Rfam family "Bacterial small subunit ribosomal RNA", at positions 1 to 525 of the family's 1533-position model. Lineage: Bacteria; Bacillati; Actinomycetota; Actinomycetes; Micrococcales; Microbacteriaceae. The record is from RNAcentral.
UAGAGUUUGAUCCUGGCUCAGGACGAACGCUGGCGGCGUGCUUAACACAUGCAAGUCGAACGAUGAAGCCCAGCUUGCUGGGUGGAAGAGUGGCGAACGGGUGAGUAACACGUGAGUAACCUGCCCCUUACUCUGGGAUAAGCGCUGGAAACGGUGUCUAAUACUGGAUAUGACUCAUACCGGCAUCGGUUGUGAGUGGAAAGAUUUAUCGGUAAGGGAUGGGCUCGCGGCCUAUCAGGUUGUUGGUGAGGUAACGGCUCACCAAGCCUACGACGGGUAGCCGGCCUGAGAGGGUGACCGGCCACACUGGGACUGAGACACGGCCCAGACUCCUACGGGAGGCAGCAGUGGGGAAUAUUGCACAAUGGGCGAAAGCCUGAUGCAGCAACGCCGCGUGAGGGAUGACGGCCUUCGGGUUGUAAACCUCUUUUAGUAGGGAAGAAGCGUAAGUGACGGUACCUACAGAAAAAGCACCGGCUAACUACGUGCCAGCAGCCGCGGUAAUA